GACGAACGCUGGCGGCGUGCUUAACACAUGCAAGUCGAACGGUAAGGCCCUUCGGGGUACACGAGUGGCGAACGGGUGAGUAACACGUGGGUGAUCUGCCCUGCACUUCGGGAUAAGCCUGGGAAACUGGGUCUAAUACCGGAUAGGACUCCGGACUGCAUGGUCUGGGGUGGAAAGCCUUUGCGGUUUGGGAUGGGCCCGCGGCCUAUCAGCUUGUUGGUGGGGUGAGGGCCUACCAAGGCGACGACGGGUAGCCGGCCUGAGAGGGUGACCGGCCACACUGGGACUGAGAUACGGCCCAGACUCCUACGGGAGGCAGCAGUGGGGAAUAUUGCACAAUGGGCGCAAGCCUGAUGCAGCGACGCCGCGUGAGGGAUGACGGCCUUCGGGUUGUAAACCUCUUUCAGCACCGACGAAGCGCAAGUGACGGUAGGUGCAGAAGAAGGACCGGCCAACUACGUGCCAGCCGCCGCAGUAA
Molecule: ribosomal RNA, 478 nt
Filed under: uncultured bacterium
Lineage: Bacteria
Description: partial 16S ribosomal RNA
Rfam family: Bacterial small subunit ribosomal RNA
Source: RNAcentral